This 71-nucleotide transfer RNA is filed under the name Cricetulus griseus (Chinese hamster). It matches the Rfam family "tRNA". From Rfam's summary of the family: Transfer RNA (tRNA) molecules are approximately 80 nucleotides in length. Their secondary structure includes four short double-helical elements and three loops (D, anti-codon, and T loops). Further hydrogen bonds mediate the characteristic L-shaped molecular structure. tRNAs have two regions of fundamental functional importance: the anti-codon, which is responsible for specific mRNA codon recognition, and the 3' end, to which the tRNAs corresponding amino acid is attached (by aminoacyl-tRNA synthetases). tRNAs cope with the degeneracy of the genetic code in two manners: having more than one tRNA (with a specific anti-codon) for a particular amino acid; and 'wobble' base-pairing, i.e. permitting non-standard base-pairing at the 3rd anti-codon position. The record is from Rfam by way of RNAcentral. Lineage: Eukaryota; Metazoa; Chordata; Mammalia; Rodentia; Cricetidae.
GGAGAGGUAGCUCAGUGGUUAAGGGCACUGUUGCUCUUCAGAGAACCUGGGUUCAAUUCCCAGCACAUCUU